RNAcentral lists this ribosomal RNA (274 nucleotides) under uncultured bacterium. RNAcentral's name for it is "partial 16S ribosomal RNA". It matches the Rfam family "Bacterial small subunit ribosomal RNA", at positions 523 to 796 of the family's 1533-position model. The record is from RNAcentral.
AUACGAAGGGGGCUAGCGUUGUUCGGAAUUACUGGGCGUAAAGCGCGCGUAGGCGGACCAGUCAGUCAGGGGUGAAAUCCCGGGGCUCAACCCCGGAACUGCCUUUGAUACUGCUGGUCUUGAGUUCGAGAGAGGUGAGUGGAAUUCCGAGUGUAGAGGUGAAAUUCGUAGAUAUUCGGAGGAACACCAGUGGCGAAGGCGGCUCACUGGCUCGAUACUGACGCUGAGGUGCGAAAGCGUGGGGAGCAAACAGGAUUAGAAACCCUAGUAGUCC